Molecule: long non-coding RNA, 419 nt
Filed under: Ananas comosus (pineapple)
Lineage: Eukaryota; Viridiplantae; Streptophyta; Magnoliopsida; Poales; Bromeliaceae
Description: long non-coding RNA (ACOM_LNC003715)
Source: RNAcentral
CUACUUAGCAUAAAUAGCAUAAGUAUGAAAGCAACUAUGCAUGAAGUAAACGUCUCCAACUAUCAUGAUGUUCACAAUGUGAAAAAGUAAAGUUCCGUUGUUUACUAUUCUAGUCAAUGUCCAAGUAGUACACUAAGUCAUCAUCUGUCCAUAUGUCAUAAUGGAUACAUAAAGUCAAAUCUGAAGAGACCCACCCGAAGGCUGUCUAUGGCCCUGAGACCCACCCGUAGGCUGUCUGGCCGGUGCCGAGCCUAAUGGCCCUGUGGUAGUCAUCAUCCCCACCCUAGGAAUGAGCCUGGCCCACGGCAAUCCACUUCGGCGCCCAAUCCCGCACGGCGAAUAUGAAUCGCGAUGGCCAUCUCCGGAGUGCCGGCUUGUAGGGAGCGACCCUCACAAGCAUGUGCGAAUGAGCACAAUGG